Molecule: long non-coding RNA, 361 nt
Organism: Limulus polyphemus (Atlantic horseshoe crab)
Lineage: Eukaryota; Metazoa; Arthropoda; Merostomata; Xiphosura; Limulidae
Exons: 3
Source: RefSeq, a predicted model, not a curated record
GUCCGUUGACGACAUUGACUUUUUCUCAGGUAGUAUUUCAGAAAGUCCAGUUUCAGGUGGUAUUGUCGGGCCUACCUGUGGUUUUAUUAUUGCGUUACAAUACAAUCGAUUGAGAUUUGGAGAUCGAUACUUCUUUGAUGUGUAUGGAGAAGCUGGCUCUUUCACAGCUGCCCAACUGAGAGAAAUCCGAAAGGUAACUUUGUCCAGAAUUUUGUGUGAGAACAGUAAUGAUGUAGAUGAACUACAACAAUGGAUCUUCCUACCAGUCUCUAGGACUAAUCCAUCUUUGAAAUGUUCAUCUCGAGAAUCGUUUGAUUUCACGCCAUGGUGUGAUACUUGUAAGUAACAUUAUUUAUCAGUU